Molecule: ribosomal RNA, 253 nt
Filed under: uncultured bacterium
Lineage: Bacteria
Description: partial 16S ribosomal RNA
Rfam family: Bacterial small subunit ribosomal RNA
Source: RNAcentral
UACGUAGGGACCAAGCGUUGUUCGGAUUUACUGGGCGUAAAGGGCGCGUAGGCGGCGCGGUAAGUCACUUGUGAAAUCUCUGAGCUUAACUCAGAACGGCCAAGUGAUACUGCAGUGCUAGAGUGUGGAAGGGGCAAUCGGAAUUCUUGGUGUAGCGGUGAAAUGCGUAGAUAUCAAGAGGAACACCGGUGGCGAAGGCGGCUUCUUGGGCCGUUCCUGACGCUGAGGCGCGAAAGCGUGGGGAGCGAACAGG